Molecule: long non-coding RNA, 267 nt
Filed under: Pelobates cultripes (western spadefoot toad)
Lineage: Eukaryota; Metazoa; Chordata; Amphibia; Anura; Pelobatidae
Source: RNAcentral
GACUUAGCCGAUUCACUGGCAAAACAAGCUGCCAUCAAUGGUGAAACCCUAAACAUUGAUGAUCUUAUGGGUUCAAUUCAUGUUGAAGCCAUAACUAGACGACAGGCUAGAGAUAAUGUCGACUUAAACGUCGUGCAAUGGAGUCAAGAAGCUCCUAGUGAGGACCUGAUUACCAGUCAAAAGAAUGAUCCCGUCAUAGGCAUAUUCUAUAAACAUAUAGAAGACCCUACUGCCAAUCCCAUCACAGAUGAGGAUUGCAAAGAUAAU